UACGGAGGGUGCAAGCAUUAAUCGGAAUUAUUGGGCGUAAAGGGCGCGUAGGCGGAUUUGUAAGUCAGAUGUGAAAUUCCGAGGCUCAACUUCGGAGCUGCAUCUGAAACUACAAACCUGGAGGGAUGGCGGAGAAAAUGGAAUUCCACGUGUAGCGGUGAAAUGCGUAGAUAUGUGGAGGAACACCUGUGGCGAAAGCGGUUUUCUAGCUAUUUCCUGACGCUGAGGCGCGAGAGCAGGGGGAG
Molecule: ribosomal RNA, 245 nt
Filed under: uncultured Simkania sp.
Lineage: Bacteria; Pseudomonadati; Chlamydiota; Chlamydiia; Parachlamydiales; Simkaniaceae
Description: partial 16S ribosomal RNA
Rfam family: Bacterial small subunit ribosomal RNA
Source: RNAcentral